GAUGAACGCUGGCGGCGUGCCUAAUACAUGCAAGUCGAGCGAACGGACGAGAAGCUUGCUCCUCUGAUGUUAGCGGCGGACGGGUGAGUAACACGUAGAUAACCUACCUAUAAGACUGGGAUAACUUCGGGAAACCGGAGCUAAUACCGGAUGAUAUUUUGAACCGCAUGGUUCAAAAGUGAAAGAUGGUCUUGCUGUCACUUAUAGAUGGAUCCGCGCUGCAUUAGCUAGUUGGUAAGGUAACGGCUUACCAAGGCAACGAUGCAUAGCCGACCUGAGAGGGUGAUCGGCCACACUGGAACUGAGACACGGUCCAGACUCCUACGGGAGGCAGCAGUAGGGAAUCUUCCGCAAUGGGCGAAAGCCUGACGGAGCAACGCCGCGUGAGUGAUGAAGGUCUUCGGAUCGUAAAACUCUGUUAUUAGGGAAGAACAAAUGUGUAAGUAACUGUGCACAUCUUGACGGUACCUAAUCAGAAAGCCACGGCUAACUACGUG
Molecule: ribosomal RNA, 497 nt
Filed under: uncultured bacterium
Lineage: Bacteria
Description: partial 16S ribosomal RNA
Rfam family: Bacterial small subunit ribosomal RNA
Source: RNAcentral